ACCUAGUGACCGUAUGCCCUUCCUCUUGAAAAAGCAUAUCAAAAGGGUCAAUAUGAAUAUCUCUCUGUGCCUUUAUUAUGUUGGUUGUAUGGCCAAGACUAAAAGAGGGUGGUUUAGUGGGAAGUGAAAUAAUUGAAGCUUUUCUUUUUCAUUUAUGGCUUAGUUUGAGGUGGGUUUCAUUUGAGAUUUUUGAGAUAUUUUAUGAGAUUUUGAGCUUGAAAGAAACACUGGCUAUGGUGAAGGAGAACAAAGACUCAUCAGGUAUAUCAUGCAAGUGCAACAAUUCAAUAAAUCAUCUCAACAAAUUUACACGUGUGUCAUCCCCAUCACACAUCAAUCAACUUCCACUCUCUUUCCUCUCUUUUUUCCUUUUCUUUUAAUUUGAUUUUCGAUUUUCCUUCAGUUUUUUUUUGUUUGGAAGAUCAAUAACCUCCAUUGUUAAGCAUAACUACCCAUUAUUCAUCACGGUUUUUUCCCUCUCAUUUUUUGUUCUUCUAAAAAUUUUCAACUCCCACUCAACCCACGAUUCCUCAAGUUUUUUUCUCUCUCAGUUUAUUCUUGUUUCAAAUUUCUUUAUAAAAUGACCAUCACUCGUUCAUCCUCAUCUCCUUCCCCAGUUCAGAAAAAAAAUCGAAAAUGGGCUUGAAAUCUUUGGCUAACAAAUCAAAGGGUAAACGUCCGAUCGUUGAAGAGGAGGAUUCUGAUUUUGAUCCUCCUUUGACCAAGCGUGGGAGGCCACAUACUACGAAGAAAUCGAAGCUCAAUAUGGAGGAGCAAAUGGUUCAAAAAAUUUAUGGGAAAAAAGCUAGUGCAUCUGCCGAAGUUCGAACAGAGGUCUGGGACUACAAAUUUAGUCCUUCUGAUUACUAUAGAUCUAAGUGUGUUUGCACUAGUCUUUUUUCUGUCAUAGAUAAUAUUAAGAAAACUUUGUCUGUUAAUUUACUGUCCAUGUUUCGUGAAACUCAGUUUGGUCAUUUUCUAGAUAUGCCUGAGUUUGUUUUUCAUCCCCAAGUUGUGCAUAGUUUAUUACUGAGGGAAGUUUUCCAACCCAAUCCCAAAGAGUUUUAGGCUAAGGUUGCUGGCCGUUGCAUACGGUUUAGUACUGAGGAAUUUUAUUUGAUUUCUGGAAUUGAUUGUUUCGGUGAUUGCAACAAGUUGUUGUUUUCACAGGAAACAAAUCAGUUGGUAGAAAUCUGUUUUCGUGUGGUGUAAAAACCAUUGACCACAAAGCCAUUGAGGAUGCUUUCGUGGGUAGUAGGUGGGGUUUGGAUGAGUCCCUUGGAUUGAAAAUUGAUGUUUUGCAUUUUAUUCAGUGGUUUCUUCUUAGUAAUACUCCUGAUAAAGAAGUAUCUAGGUUUGAUCUAGAUGUUGUGGAUAGCGGUCGGUGGGACGAGUAUUGUUGGGGUAGGGAAUCCUUUAAAUUGACUAUUGAUUCAUUCAAAGGUAGAAUUCAGCAUGGGAUUUUAAUGAAAAAUAAGAAGGCAGAGAAGGGAGGCCAGUAUGAUGGUUGGUAUAGGGCUUUGGGAUGUCCAUGGGUUUUUACGGUUUGGUUUUAUGAAUGUUGUCCUGCUAUGGUCAACUCUUUCUGUAAAAGAGUUUCAUCUUCUAUUCCAAGGAUUCUGAAUUGGAGCAACACCAUUGUCACCAAAAAUCCAACUCUUCGAGACUUGAAGGGCAAGAUUUUUGAUUUGCCGUUGAACAAGUUGAAGAUCAAAAACAUGUGUCCUACUGAUGAAGAGAGGCAGAAGCUUCAACUUGACGAGGACGUGGCUUUUGCCGCACCGCCUUUGUAAGGGGAGAAAGAUUUUGGUGUUGCUGUGUUAUGGGACAUGGUGAUUGCGGAUUCUUUAUGAGGAUCACGUCAACCUGGCAACUGCCUUCGAGUUCACACUCUCUCGACACAAUUUCAAUCUCUUUCCAGGUCUUCGAGUGCCACUUCCUCGACACAUUUUCAAUCUCCUUCCAGUCCUUCGCGACCCACUUCCUUAGCACAGUCUCAAUCUCCCAAUACUAGUUCCACUUCCUCGACACAGUUUCAAUCUUCUUCAGCCCUUCGCGACCCACUCCCUUAGCACAUUCUCAAUCUCCCAGUACCCAAGAUUUUGUGAGGAGGUUUCGGUCUCCUUCCAGCCAAGAUGUGGUGAACAAGAAAACUGAGCUACUUGCUCAAUCUCUUGAAGUGGUUCAAUCAAGUGCUCCUGCCUAUUUUAAUAUCAUUAAAAAAAUUUGCUGAUUGUGAAUUGGAUGAUGAGUAACUUGAUGCAUUUGACUGAGCCACUUAUGUUCUACGCAACCACCCCAUUUUGUAAGCUACUCAUCAUCCUCAAUUGCUAAUUAUUUAACUAAAAUAUGAUAUGAUAUGAUAAUUAUCAGAGCAUUUUCUUUAGUAUGAGGUAUGCUUUCAUCAACUUGAAAUUUACCUUGAAAAAAGAUACUGGAAAUCCGUUUGAUUAUUGAAUUGAAAUAUCAUGAUGGUAACAAUGACAAAUCUAUUUUUGUUGAGCAUUACAUUACUACUUCAUAGAAGAACUUGAAGUUUGAGCAUGAUUUUUAUUUUUGUUAUGUUUUUGUGUUUUGUUUCAUGUAUGCUUUUAUUGUUUAAUUAACUUGCUGUCAUUUGGAGUUUUUGGAUUAAAAGUUGAAGAAGAUUCACAAAUUUAUGUCAUCAAUUAAAUGAUAGAAACAAGAAUUUGUCAAUUCUAUUCUGUUCUUGUUAUGUAAUUAAGAGAGACUAUGUGGAUGAAUGAGAGAACAAUUUUUCAUAAAUUUGAGAAGUACUAAUUAGGUAUUUGAUUGUUUUCUCUAUUAGAUGCUCACUUGUUAUUUUCAUUGAAUAAAACUAUUUAGAAAAGGUAGAUUUGUAAGUUUCUUUGAACUAAUUCUAUUGUACUUUGACAUGCAUGUACGUACAUUACGCAAUUCAAUAAAUCAUCUCAAUGCCAUCCGAACCAACAAUCUUAGAAGAUAGAUUUGCUCAUCCAAUGGGAGGUCUCACAAUUCCCUUCAAGGAAAAUGUCUUGAUUGUUGCAAAUUUUUCGUUGAGGAUCAUGAACAUGAAAAUGUCCUUGAGAAUGAUACAAUUGAAUACUAGUACAAUACUAGUACACUUGUUUCUUUCAUCAAUUGUUACUGAAACAAGAAAUUAUGUUUUGAUUUUUUAAGUUGUUCUAUUAAUAAUCUUGUAUAAGUUUCUUCUGUUAAUUAGUUAUGACUGCUUAUAACUAUAAUUAGGUGUUGCUUGGUCAUUAUGAGUAAGAUUAGAAAAAAGAGAAGAAAAUUUAUAGAGUUUUGGAGGGUUGUAAAGAGUUCAUUGGUGAGCUUUCUUUGUAAUUUCAGAAGCAAGUCUUCUUGGUGUGAUUGUCUUGUACUGAUCUCGAUUCAUCAAUUAAGUUUCUCAGCCAUUUCAAGGCUGUUGUAACCCUCAGAUUCGAUAACAAAUGUAGUGAGUCAAGAUACAAACUUGACACUAAGCAACUUAGAAGAGAAGGUCUCUUCUUCAAAUGCUAACCAAGCAGCUGAUGUUCCUUUCUUUACCUUACAAUUCUUUUUAAUAUAUGCUGGCUUCUUUUCUAUCUUCAAUAUGUAAAAUGAAGAUAUUGGAGUUAUAAAAUAAUCUAACCAAUAAGAGUUCUCCUCUCAAACUUUAUAAUGAAAUGUGGAAUUUUUGUUUUGCCAAUUGGGAAUUGGAUGCCCAAUUCAAUCCAUUUGUCUUAUCACUAAAAAAAAAGUAUGUAUCCUACUUGAAAUUACUCUUAUGCCCUUUUGUGUACAUCCUAUAAUGCCCUUGGAUCCGUACAGGGCCCUGACCCAUACCGUGCUCGACUCUGGUUUAGACCUUGUAACCAGCUUGGACUUCGAACCCGUACUUGGUCCCGACCCGAAUCACCGACGUGGAUUCAAACCCAAACCCCAAACUCAGUCUCGACACUGACAACCUGAAUCCCGACCACAGACUUAGACCUAAAUUCUGGGUAUGUGUGAGAAAAUAUAAAGAAAAAUAUAUUAAAACAAAGAAAAAAAGUUGUGUUUAAAAAUAGAAAGCAACAUUUCGAUAUUUGCUAAUUUGUUUUUUUAAUUCAGUUUUCUAAAAAUUAUUUUGCCAAACACCCCAAUUGAUUAAAAAAGAAGUUUUAUGUUUUAAUAAAGUAAAAGUUAUGAAGUAGAUCAUUACUCUAUUAUCUACUUUACUCUAAGGCCCUUUUUUGUACAUUGCUCAACUCUAGCAAGGAUACAAAUGAACUUUCACACCCUCAAAUAUCCCUACAUAUAAAUAUAUUUUCUUCUAACCCUAAACACUGCCCCUCUCUCUCUCGAAUUUACAGUCUCUCACUCUCUGAAGAUUAAUAGCUCAAACACAUCAUGAGGAUCACUACCAUCAUCUACCUCAGAUCUCUUCAAGCAAAUCAAAAAGUAAUUUGCUUUGAUUUGUACAGGUACAUUGAGCAAUCCAAUAAAUCAUCUCAACAAAACAAGAGAGGUAUAUUUUAAAAGUGCUUAUACCUUGUAAAUGCCAUGAAGGCAGGAUGUGUUGGAAAAAUCUAGGAUAGGCCAUAGAUUUUAAGGAGAUUUUCAUGGGCCACCUUAUUUUGGCAAUUAUUUUUAAAAAUAACGUUGUUUUUGUUUAUUAAGUUUCUUUAUAUAUAGUUACCGUUUUUUUUGGUAAUUUUCUAUUUUUAACGAUUUGUAUAUUGGGCUUAGAAUCCCGGUUUUUUCGGCCCAAUUUUUUAAAACACACACUCUUUGUACGCGUGGGCGCGUGACGUCAGGGUGAGCUGAUACAGCUACAACACGCAAUCAUCACGUAGACUGUGCAGAGGUUUUCAUUUCAUUUGUUCAUUUCAAAAGUUUUAUGUUCAGUUUUUUCAUUUCAUUUUUUCUUUUUCAUUUGAAAAGUUUUCAAAGCUUUGGAGGGAAUAUUAGGGUUAGGGUUUCUUCUUCAGUGAUAUUGUUUCCUUUUAGUUGUAAUGGCGAUCCUUCGAUCGUCUAGCUCUCCUUCUCCAUUGCCAUUGUCUGAUUGUGGUGCAACCGAGAAGGAUUUGUCAACGUGUGUCGCCGGUGGUUCGAAGCCGUCGUGUUCUUCAAAGAGCAGGGGUUUUGCUGCAAAGAAAAAAUGAGAUAAGGAGAAGAUAGUUGAGAAAGGGAAAGCAGUUGAAGAUGAUCGUGUUUUGAAAAGAGUUAGGAAAUGUGCAUCUCUGGAUUCGGAUUCUGAAGAUGAGCUAGACAUGGAUAUAUUCAAUGGAGCAAAGGUUGUGGGGAGUUUAAUUCAUACCCUUGGGAGAAAUUGUCUUAUGAUUACACCUUUCAUGGAUUGAGGGUUGGGUUGAAGUCAAAACAGAUGCAAAAGAAGAGGGAUUUAGAUAUUAAAGAGAAAGGUGUUAGGCAAUACCGAAUGGGUGGCUUUCCAUUUGCAUAUCAAGUUUGGCUGUAUGAAGUGCUUCCAAUUCUAAAGAGGGAGGACAUUUGUUCGUAUGAUCCUGCUCCAAGUUUCAGAAUUUGUAGGUGGACUGAUAGUUCUUCUCCAAAUUCAAAUAAACUCGAGAAAAAAGUGUUUUCAUCGUCUAAGCAUAUUGAUGUGUUAUUUUACUAUUUGAGGAAGAAGAUUGAGUAUGAUCAAUCUAUCAAGCUGAAAGUCAGUUGUUAUUUUGCAACUCAAAUUUUUGAGUUGUAUGGAAAUUAUCUUGGCAAGGGGGAGAAUCGCUUUUCUGUUCCCAAGAAUUUUAGGGCUGCUAGCUAUAUUGAGGGAUUUUGCAUGCUUGUUUCAAAGCCAUGAUUGUUGCUUGAUUAUGUUUUUUUUUUUUUUUGGGGGAGGUUGCUUGAUUAUGUUUUGAUUCCAGUGAAUGUUGCUUCAUUGGUACAUUUUAUUGUGAUCAUAUUUGACAUUAAGAAUAGAUGUUUAAAAGUAUGCAACUCACUGUCUGUUGGCAAAUUUAAAAACUUGAACAACUUU
Cannabis sativa is the source of this 5947-nucleotide RNA transcript. RefSeq lists it as uncharacterized. Lineage: Eukaryota; Viridiplantae; Streptophyta; Magnoliopsida; Rosales; Cannabaceae. The record is from RefSeq and is a predicted model, not a curated record. The transcript has 9 exons.